UUAAAUUGAAGAGUUUGAUCAUGGCUCAGAUUGAACGCUGGCGGCAGGCUUAACACAUGCAAGUCGAA
This 68-nucleotide ribosomal RNA is filed under the name Glaesserella parasuis. RNAcentral describes it as "partial 16S ribosomal RNA". It matches the Rfam family "Bacterial small subunit ribosomal RNA", at positions 1 to 66 of the family's 1533-position model. Lineage: Bacteria; Pseudomonadati; Pseudomonadota; Gammaproteobacteria; Pasteurellales; Pasteurellaceae. The record is from RNAcentral.